UAUAGGGUUGUAUAUGUAUGUCUUUACGUUGUUUUGUGUGUAAUCGUGUGCGCGUAUUUGUAUGGCACGAAUGGAAGUACGGUCAGAGCGGAAGUGCACGUGCGAAAGGUCGGUUAGCGUCACUACAGGUAAGCUAUGCCGUGAGUAAUGGCUGUAGUGUAACCACCUGUAGUCAGAAUCCUUUUGAUCAUGGAUACAGGCACGGAAUACAGACUGUGCUUUCCAUGACGGAGUAAAGUUCCUUGGACAACAGGACACCGGGCAAUCACCACGACUUCGGCAUCAGGACCGGUAGAAAUCUCCGGUCAGCCUCAGGAGGUCUGAUGUGAUAAACAGACGGGUCAAAGAGCCAAGGAUGAUAAGGAAUGGUGGUCCGUACUACGGCCACUAGAUCAUGAAGCGGUGACGUCUAACGCUGUUGACGGUAUGACGUUAUAGCCAGCUAGCUCUCAUACUUUACCUGCGGGAAAGUAUUGUUGGGACUCAUAGUGAGUCAUCCCUGUGGGAGGUGCGUGACAUACGAGGGAUAUACCUGAACUGCGGUUCAGUUACUCAUGUGUUUCUGUUUCUUGAGUGGAGAACUUGUGCCUUUAAUGUGUACUUAUACCGGUAUUGUGCUGUUCUGUGUCGACGACUCCGUGACUUUAACCGUAAUUGAAUGUCAGAGUGUGCAAGGGGUGUGAAUGUGCGUUUGUAUGAAUAUAUCUAUUUGCUUUUGUACAUAAUAGUUAAUAAAUAUUGUUUUGUAUAAUCUA
Pecten maximus is the source of this 755-nucleotide long non-coding RNA. RefSeq lists it as uncharacterized. Lineage: Eukaryota; Metazoa; Mollusca; Bivalvia; Pectinida; Pectinidae. The transcript is spliced from 2 exons. The record is from RefSeq and is a predicted model, not a curated record.